This is a long non-coding RNA of Myxocyprinus asiaticus (Chinese sucker), 1540 nucleotides long. RefSeq lists it as uncharacterized. The transcript is spliced from 3 exons. Lineage: Eukaryota; Metazoa; Chordata; Actinopteri; Cypriniformes; Catostomidae. The record is from RefSeq and is a predicted model, not a curated record.
UUUACUAAGAAGGAACUAAAUGCAUUUUAACAGACAAGAAAAAUAAUAUAUCAAAUUUCAGCAAUUUCAAAAUCUAUGAAUAAAUAUGUGAUUAACUGAAUAAUGAUGUGAUUAAAUAUUUUAAAAUCAACUGACAGCACUACUUACAAUUAUUUAAACAUGUAUCAAGCAUUAUCAAAUGUACAGUUCAAGUCCUGGAUGCUGAUUGAGAAAACUCACAAGCAGCUAUUUUCUAUGAAUACAAGCAGGGCCGUAGCAAGGUAUUCUGGGCCCCCUUAAUGUAUAUUGCUCUGGGCCCCUUUCAUAUAAAGGAUUUUUAUUUUUUUUAUUUGUUGUUUCUCCAUUAUUCAUUGUUUACAAUUGUUUUGUCAGUCCAGCAACUCAGCCAGGUAACUCCGCCCCUUCCAAUGUACAGCAAGCCGCAAACACUGAGUGCAUGAAGUAUCCAACAUUCCACACUCGGUUUUGAUGGUUGAAGAAGUGCAUCAUCCAGAUCACCGAUCUGCACAUGUCCCAGGACAAACAGUCCUCCUUUCUUCAACUGGUUGACAAAGCAGAUGAGCUGACAGGAGGAGCGUGGGUUUGCCACCAUCAGUAAGACCUGAGGCCGCCAGAACUUCACAUGAUCCUUACGGGAGUCUAACAUCAGCAGGUACCUGGUGAAAGAGGAGUGCUUGGCUGAUGUAGCCCCAGCUGCUGGUGGGAGAGCGGUACUGAAGGAACAGCAGGAGCAGGAGCAGCAGUGCAAUACUGGCUGAGGAAUACACUGGGUUUAUCACAAACAUCAUGACCACAUAGCUUACAAUUCCCAACAAACAGGUGUGCCAAGAAAAAAACUGAAAUGUUGGCCUGGAAAGAGAAAAACAGAAGAGAGAAAGAAGUAUCAGUAAAAAAUGUGAAGACAAUGCUUUCAUUUACAAAUUAAAGAUCUAUAUAAAUACGCCCUGAUAUGUUUGAGUAAUUAUCAAGAGGAAACUCUGAAAUCGGCCUAUUAAAUGUCCGCAGACACAUGGAGAGAUGAAUUUCAGAAUGAGAAGUUUGUUCCAUUUAGAGUUGAUAACAACAUUUCAGUAGUAGAUACCAAUACCACUGAAAUUUCACAAUUCUCAACUGCAAUUUCAAAAUCACAGCAAAACUAAUAUAAUUUAUAUACCUAAUAACACCUGUUUAAAUUAACUUAGUUCUCUUAAGUUACUUAUGACAUGCUGACAGCACAUGACACUGUAAUGCAAUUGACUGAGUUACUACCACUAAUUAUGACAAUAAUAAUAACAAAGGUUUCAUAUAGCGCUUUCAGCCAAUUCUACAUGUAAACAAGUACAUGUAUACAAAACAAGCAAACCAAACAAUAUAAUAACAACAAACACAGUAUACUUAAUAUAGAGACAAUGACGGAGCCAGAGUCAACAGUAUGGUUCGGAGUGAUGGUAUCAGCAGGAUUUGAUCCAACAGACAGUCAAAACAGAAUGAGUAACAGUAGAAAGAUAAAAUGUCAAAACAAGAGGGGGUCAUGAAACCGGCAAAUCCUGCAGCUCUCACG